RNAcentral lists this non-coding RNA (27 nucleotides) under Mus musculus (house mouse). Lineage: Eukaryota; Metazoa; Chordata; Mammalia; Rodentia; Muridae. The record is from RNAcentral.
UUAAAGUAGUCCUGCCUGCAUAUUGUU